This is a non-coding RNA of Rattus norvegicus (Norway rat), 4401 nucleotides long. The record is from RefSeq and is a predicted model, not a curated record. Lineage: Eukaryota; Metazoa; Chordata; Mammalia; Rodentia; Muridae.
CCCUCUCCAUCUACUCUCCAUCCCACCUCCCGCCCCCAUCCUACGUGUCCCUGGGCUGCCUUUUCCCUCUCCUCUCUCUGUCCUUUUCUGUCCCUUUCUCCGCCCCUACCUCUUUCUAGGUUCCCGCCCCUCUCCCUGGCUCCCUUCCCCCCAUAAACUUCCUUUUGUACUAGGCCUGUCACAUGAUGGUGAUUACUCGUGGAGAGGCAUCGGCACGGCCCGCUGAGGGCAUACGUGCUGCGGGAGCUUCCUGAGAAUCCGGAUAUGCAAAGUCUUGCCCGUCUGAGGGUAGCUAAUGCUCGGUUACAGCUCGGUUCAAUCUGGAAUCUGCCAGAUGCUUCUGGCUGCGCUCUCCCUCAUUGCUAGACUAAAAACCAUCUAGACCACACCUAGGGACAGUCAUGUCUUCAUUUUGUAUUCACGUCUAACGUUCAAUUGGUGUGACUGGGGCAGCCUGAUUUAAAGAGCAAACGAGGACAACAUCAAACCUCCAGGCCCACGGUAUCCAGCAGAGACUAGAGACUCGCAAGGACAGCCUCAAAGAACCAAUCAGGGGAGGUGGGCGGUUCUCGGCUGAGACCUUUCUCCCGGGAUGUUUCUGCUUUCCGGUUCCCACUGCAGACAUUUUUUAAAACACUUGUAAUAAACAAUAACGUCCAGGAAAGUCUGUCCUGAACGAUGUAAUGGUUUCACUACCCUUAGCUGUCCCUUCUUGUACCCUGGGACUCUCUCUGGAACAUGUUUUGUUCUAUGCCCAGCACAGACCCAGUAUGCACCUGAAAUAGAUUCCCUGAGCCAUGCAUCCAAAAUUAUUAUUUACAAAAGUCCAGCAAUAUUGUCAAACAGAAGCUCCAUUUGUAGUGAUCCCAUUGGGCAGGUGCAUGGUGUCUACAAGUCUUUGGUGGCCAGGACACCCUUGAGGCCAGGAUAAAUCCAUAAGCUCUGGUACAGAAAGGGAUUCAGAGUCCCCAACUGUCACCUUACUUAAUAGGCUCAGAAUACAAACUCCCUAAGGGCCUGUCUUCAAUGUCCUCUCAGGACUUCAGUUUCCCUCCAUCUUCCUCCACCAACCCUCUCCUCUGACUCUUGCUGUGUCCCCCUCCCCCACCGCUCAGCAAGCGGCUUCCUGCACCAGCACCCUGUUUUGUUAGUGAUAUCUGUGUCUGCUUCUAACAGCUGGCCCCAGCCUGGCAGCCCCUAGCUCUGAAGAUUAUCCAAUUAUCCCAUUAGCCCAGCAUGUCCUUCCUUCCUCUGAGCUUUUAGCUCCCCCUCCUCCCUCUCCCUUUCCCGGGGCUCCUCGCAGCCUCCUUACUAUUUCCUUAGCCAGUCCUAAAGCCGAGUCAACCUCCCCAGCUAUAAGGGACGCACAUGUCCACCCAUCAGUCUGCUUCAUUGUGUAAGGAAGGAAUAUUACUCUCAAAGCCAGAGUCACAUGACCAGUUAAUGGCAGCAGAGAACUAACACCUAGAGCUCUGGCCAUCAUAGCUAUGCUUUCGGCUUUCUUCACCACGUGCGUGACCUGUCUCACCAAGCGCAUGCGCGACAUGUCCCGUCCAGCGCAUGCGUGAAGUGUCCCAUCAAGCGCCCAUUGGGGUUGCCUCUCCCAUGAAUGAGAUACUUCUAUGAAUAAAGUAGCGCAGAGCCACAGAAGAGGUAGAACCAAGGAGGUGCAGAAUCGUGGGAGCUGCAGGCAGUUGUGUCAGUGGCAGAGGUGAAGCCACGGAAAAAAAAACGUGGCUGGAGGACCUAGCAGUGGAGCGAGUGGCAGCUUCAAUAUCAGCACUCAAAAUAGGGCCGUGCAAAAACAAGCUAAAGUCAAGAAGUGGGGAGGAGGCAAAGGAUGUGAGCUACUCCUGUGCAGGAAAGGGGUGUCCCCACCAAAUGCAGUAGAUUUGCACGCAGAGUGCGGGCUGUGUUUAUAUCGAUCUUGGUCCUGCUAGGUCACUAGGGGGAAAUGAGCUACUUCCGGUCAGGCUUUCAAGGACAUCUAGAGUUCAGUGAGUCUUAAGAUGGCAAAAGGUACGGACGGACGAGACUGGGGCUCUACCUUCCAAGGGCUGAGUUAGGCUUCAGCAGUCAGCAGCUGUCAGCACCUGACAGUUUCCUCAAGCCUUCUGUGCGAGCCUAUGGGGAAUCUGAUUGGCUGCUGAUUGACCCAUACCUCGUACAAGGCCGUUAGGAUACCAGGGAAGGGCAGCUGUUAGAUGAGGAGUCAAACUGUCCCGGCCUUCAACAUCUUUGCUUAUCUACAGGACAAAUACACUUCAGGAGGGAAUGCUUGACGGAAUUCUCCCUAAGAGAUUUUUAACAGUGAGGAACAGUGCUUCGUAAAAACAGGACUAGCGUCCUUUCUCAUCUGUGGGUUUCUGGAGAGUGAGUUGGCUGGGCUGAGGUAUAUCUCCGUGGCAAUGGGCUUGUCUCUCCUCUACGAGGCUGCCUUUACCUUUGCCAUUUGUUUCUUUUUCUUUUUCUUUUUCUUUUUUUUUUUUUUUUGGUUUAUAAAGAUUUGUCUUGGGGGCUGGCGAGAGAGAUGAUGGCUCAGUGGUUAAGGGCACUGGCUCCUUUUCCGGAGGUCCUGAGUUCAAAUCCCAACAACCACAUGGCACCUUUUUUUUUUUUUUUUUUUUUUUCCCGGAGCUGGGGACCGAACCCAGGGCCUUGCGUUUGCUAGGCAAGCGCUCUACCACUGAGCUAAAUCCCCAACCCCACAUGGCACCUCUUAACUAUAAUGUGAUCUCAUGCCCUCUUCUGGCAUGCAAAUGGACAUGCAGACAGGAUACUCAUAGAUAUAAAAAUAAAAGACUCAUUUUGGGGGCUGUAAUUCCAGUUAGCUGGGAUACAGGAAGUCCCUGGUUCAGUCUCCUUUGGGGGAUGCUGUGUUGUUUGUUCAGUAUAAUUUGGCCAACCUAACUUUACUGCAGAUGCCAACAAUUAGGUUGUCAGACAAGAGCUUUACCUCAGUAGCACGGGCAUGUGGUUAAUACAAACAGGACCGUCACUGGUCUGAUCCUCCAGCAUCGAAAUAAAGGACUUUGAAAGCUGCUUGCUAAAGCCUCAUCUGUCUCGAGAGCUUGUUUGGAGGUUCUAGCAGGAGAGCUCAGCUACUCCUACACCCUUGGCCGAAGACAGCUUCUCCUCCAUUAAGGGAAGGUCGCCCUCUUUGACUGAGCAUGCGCUUUGCGAGGGGUAUGCAUGGAGCGGGCGGGGGAGGGAGGAUGGGGACCUAGGAUGAUUCCUAGCCAGCCGUAUCAACGGAAUCAACCCUGGUGGUCGAUGAGGUGACAGAGGUGGCUGCCAGAUGGCCCCCACAUCGAAGCCUCAGCUACCUAUGAGAGCAAGGUGGGAAUAUGGAGAAGUCAGAAGCCUUCAUCCAAGAUGGCGCCCGCACCUGCACACUACAGCUGAUGGAACCCGGACCAAUGCCGUUCUUCCCCGAGCAUCUCCCCUGUGACGUCAUCAACGGCCAUGUAAAAUCUCCUUCCCUAGGCUCAUCCCACAAAUGUUUACUGAAUAUCUACAUGUUUCAGGCAGAAAACCAGCCCCUACCCACCCCUCUGUAGGAUCUGCUUCCCUGGUAUGACCAUUCUUUUCUGGACAACGACAGGAGUGGAUAAUCCAAUAAUGCGUGGUGUCUCAUCUCAGUACUUCUGUGUUAGGCACGCUAGUAUAUUAAGACGCUGAAAGGCCUUACCAGAACGUUCACCACAUCUACAGUGGUGGAUCUAACACAUACUGGGAUCUGAGGGCCACCGUUUCUACAGCACAGAGGAUUAAGGACGGCAGUGUAAACGUGGUCUGGCAAUUCCACUGGACUUUGUCAUCCAAGGUGCUAUUCGGGGACACCUAUCGCUGACAUGGGUUGUUUAUGUAGUUUAGUUGCUGGGCAACAAGGCUGCCUUCUCUGAUGGGAACAGGAAGGGUGGGACUAUGAAGUACCACCUCCCAUCCCUGACACUCUCUUCAACUACAGUUUGAAGCUCAGAAAUCUACACAUAACUACUGUCUAUGUGGUUGCAGGUCAGCGAUGGGACUUAGAAAGCCACCGAGGAAUGUGACAGGCAAGACAAGACCUGGAUUUUGUAUUUGGGUUUAAAACCCCCGGAGCAGGGAGACACUAGGUACCCGCAGUUCUCAGCGCUGGACAGUGCAUGUGAGGCGAACGAGAUGAUGCAGCCUUGGAUGCUCAUGGAGAAGCUGUUCUACACAGUUGUAGCUUUAUAACCGUCAUGGACUGAAGGCUGGCUCCCGUUCUAGAAGCCUCAUCCCAGGAAGCAGACUGCUCUUCCAGAGACUGCUACAGCAUGUCAUUGCCCUCCCCACCCUUGAAAGUUAGAAGCUUGGGCAAUUCUUGGCCAAGGAAGGAAAAGACAAGCAUUUUCAGUAAAGCUGCCAUGGACGUAA